CCUUCGAGCCGGAUGGACUGUAGAUCCAUAGGUCGCUGGUUCAUAUCCGGCUCGAAGGA
RNAcentral lists this transfer RNA (59 nucleotides) under Lucilia cuprina (Australian sheep blowfly). Lineage: Eukaryota; Metazoa; Arthropoda; Insecta; Diptera; Calliphoridae. The record is from Rfam by way of RNAcentral.